UCGAAUCCUGCAAAGUAGACGACCGUGAACUUGUGUUAUUACACGGCUGUCGGCAGGAGCGGGUUGGGAUAAUACCCUCUCGUUGCCUGACCGGCGCCUACCGCGUGCUCGACGUGCGGACAAUAACUCAACCCCGGCGCGAAAAGCGCCAAGGAAAACUAAAAUUGGAUAGCCCGCCUCCCCGUUUGUGGGGGGUGCUAUGGCUUCUGUUGUAACCAAAACGACUCUCGACAACGGAUAUCUCGGCUCUCGCAUCGAUGAAGAACGUAGCGAAAUGCGAUACUUGGUGUGAAUUGCAGAAUCCCGUGAACCAUCGAGUCUUUGAACGCAAGUUGCGCCCGAAGCCAUCAGGCCGAGGGCACGUCUGCCUGGGCGUCACGCAUCGCGUCGCCACCCCCGUUCAUUCGCGCGGGGUAGCGGAUAAUGGCCUCCCGUACCACCAGGUGCGGCUGGCCUAAAUGCGAGUCCUCGGCGAGUGACUUCACGACAAGUGGUGGUUGAAUGCCUCAACUCGAGUCCUGUCGUGUUGGCAAAACCCGCCGUUAACUCCCUUGACCCUGCAGCAUGCACCUCGGUGCAAGCCUCGACCGCGACCC
This 596-nucleotide unclassified non-coding RNA is filed under the name Sabicea sthenula. RNAcentral's name for it is "sequence contains ITS1, 5.8S rRNA gene, ITS2". The stretch from base 223 to 378 matches the Rfam family "5.8S ribosomal RNA". Lineage: Eukaryota; Viridiplantae; Streptophyta; Magnoliopsida; Gentianales; Rubiaceae. The record is from RNAcentral.